UAGGGCUUGAACUCACGAACUGUGAGAUCAUGACCUGAGCCCAAGUUGGAUGCUUAACUAACUGAGUCACUCAGGCGCCCCUAUAAUCGUGGUUUUAAAUUCUAGUUCAAACAUCUUACUUCUGUCUAUGUCAAUUAAAUCUCUGGCCAUCAUUUUGAAGAUGCAUAUUUCUAAAUGAAGCCAGCUUCUCCCAAUGGAAAUGGCCAGUGAGGCACUGGAGAUAUAGACUUGAAGCUGAUGUGAGAGAUCUGAAGUCCAUUGGGUGUCUCCUCCUAGGGGCCUGACAUGGCUGCUGAAUCCCAGGGUCUUGGCAGUCUGGGUUCAGUGAACCUGCAUGGGGAGGAAAAUAGGCAGAUAACCUGAGAGGCAAAGGACAAAAGGAAAGUGUUGCUUCAGAACCUCUAGGCCAAGGAGUUAGUGGAACUCCCAGUACAAAGUGUCAAGGCAGAGAUGUGGAAUCUCUGGGGAGCUGAUUGAAUGGAAAAUGAGGCUCCAGGAGUUUUGAAGAGCAUGACAGAAAUUAGAACUUGGAAAAGAUUCCCUGAUCCAAGGGGAAAGCAGCUGUCAAGGCUGUCAAGGCUGUCAAGGCCUGUAGAGUGGCAGGCACAAGGAUGGACCCUCCACAGUUCCUUGCAGUAGAAAUGAUAGUGAAGUUGUGAGAUGCAUAGCCCCUGACACAAACACAUGUGCUUUAGGAGAGAACAGCAAGGGGCUGAGGACUCAACACUGCCAAAGAAGGAAAGGACCAAAGUGGAGUUUUCUUAAGGCUUAACAAGGAGAGUUUGGAUGUAGUUAUACAGAAGUGCCAAGAGUGAUGUUUCCAGAAAGAAGGGGAGGUCCUCAGCAGAGAAUGAGGAAUAAUGGGAACAAAUGAAACCAAAUUAUGCUCAACUUUCCAGUGGACCUAUAUUAUAUAAUGUUACCCAAUUCCUUUUCUCCAUCUUCUUUCUAUUGAGGUAUAAUUUAUUUACAAUAAAAUGCAGAGGUUUUAGGGACAUAGUUCAAUGAAUUUUGACAACUGUAUAUAUCUGUAUAAAAUCAUCACCCCGGUUAAGAUACCAAACAUUUAUAUCACCCUAGAAAGUUCCCCUGUGCACCUUUUCAGUAAAUCUCCACCCUACUCCCUUCCCAGACAAUUAUGGUCCUGUUUUCUAUGAUCAUAUAUUGGUUUUGUGUCUCCUCUAGAACUUCAUAUAAAUAGAAUCAUACAGUCUGUAUUUUUUUGUAUCAGGCUUCUUUUACUCCACAUAAUAUUUUUAGAUUUAUCCAGUUUGUUUUGUAGAUAGUAGUUUCUUUUAAUUGCUGAGUAGUUUUCCACUAUGUAAAUACACAAUUAUUUGUCUAUCCAUUUUCUUGUUUAUGGACAGUUGGGUUGAUUCCAGGUUUUGGAUAUCAUGAAUUAAGCUGUUAUGAACAUUCUUAGUACCUAGCGCAGUGCCUGAAAAAUAGAAGGAACUUAAAAAUAUGCUGCUGAAUGGAAGACUAAAUGAAUGGAGGGAACAGUCAACUGGUGGUGUUGGAAGUACAGAAGAUAAUAGGAUGGUACAAGUUCAGGAAGAUUUUCUUAGAGUUGUUUAACUCUGCUUCAACAAAAUUCUGCUUCAACAAAACUCUUAGAAGAAUGAAGGCUUGAGUUGCCAAAGCCCAAACUUGAGGACUGGCUAUCCCUCUAUGUUUCCAUCAGGCUCUGCAUUUAGUUACAGAUGGAAGUUGGUUAUCUUAUCUCCAACAAAGACUGCAAGAGUGGGAUGUGUCCUUCUGGCUCUUUGUAAUCAGGCUUUUUGUGACUGGGGAUGCUGGUUGCCCAUAUGACAUUAAAAUUUUUUCAGUCUCUGUACUGGGGGUAAAAAUAUGAGCAGAAUUUGAAUUUGAAAAUUACUCCUUCCUACAUUGA
Long non-coding RNA from Felis catus (domestic cat), 1894 nucleotides. RefSeq lists it as uncharacterized. NCBI's taxonomy places the organism in Eukaryota, Metazoa, Chordata, Mammalia, Carnivora, Felidae. The transcript is spliced from 2 exons. The record is from RefSeq and is a predicted model, not a curated record.